RNAcentral lists this ribosomal RNA (497 nucleotides) under uncultured bacterium. RNAcentral describes it as "partial 16S ribosomal RNA". It matches the Rfam family "Bacterial small subunit ribosomal RNA", at positions 28 to 507 of the family's 1533-position model. The record is from RNAcentral.
GACGAACGCUGGCGGCGUGCCUAAUACAUGCAAGUUGAGCGCUGAAGGUUGGUACUUGUACCAACUGGAUGAGCAGCGCACGGGUGAGUAACGCGUGGGGAAUCUGCCUUUGAGCGGGGGACAACAUUUGGAAACGAAUGCUAAUACCGCAUAAAAACUUUAAACACAAGUUUUAAGGUUGAAAGAUGCAAUUGCAUCACUCAAAGAUGAUCCCGCGUUGUAUUAGCUAGUUGGUGAGGUAAAGGCUCACCAAGGCGAUGAUACAUAGCCGAACUGAGAGGGUGAUCGGCCGCAUUGAGACUGUGACACGGCCCAAACUCCUACGGGAGGCAGCAGUAGGGAAUCUUCAGCAAUGGACGAAAGUCUGACCGAGCAACGCCGCGUGAGUGAAGAAGGUUUUCGGAUCGUAAAACUCUGUUGGUAGAGAAGAACGUUGGUGAGAGUGGAAAGCUCAUCAAGUGACGGUAACUACCCAGAAAGGGACGGCUAACUACGUG